This 73-nucleotide transfer RNA is filed under the name Ipomoea nil (Japanese morning glory). It matches the Rfam family "tRNA". Rfam says of the family: Transfer RNA (tRNA) molecules are approximately 80 nucleotides in length. Their secondary structure includes four short double-helical elements and three loops (D, anti-codon, and T loops). Further hydrogen bonds mediate the characteristic L-shaped molecular structure. tRNAs have two regions of fundamental functional importance: the anti-codon, which is responsible for specific mRNA codon recognition, and the 3' end, to which the tRNAs corresponding amino acid is attached (by aminoacyl-tRNA synthetases). tRNAs cope with the degeneracy of the genetic code in two manners: having more than one tRNA (with a specific anti-codon) for a particular amino acid; and 'wobble' base-pairing, i.e. permitting non-standard base-pairing at the 3rd anti-codon position. The record is from Rfam by way of RNAcentral. Lineage: Eukaryota; Viridiplantae; Streptophyta; Magnoliopsida; Solanales; Convolvulaceae.
UCUGUUGUAGUCUAGUUGGUUAGGAUACUUGGCUCUUACCCAAAAGACUCGGGUUCGGUUCCCGGCAACGGAA